Molecule: unclassified non-coding RNA, 370 nt
Filed under: fungal sp.
Lineage: Eukaryota; Fungi
Description: partial internal transcribed spacer region
Rfam family: Eukaryotic small subunit ribosomal RNA (bases 1-46)
Source: RNAcentral
AAGUGGUAACAAGGUUUCCGUAGGUGAACCUGCGGAAGGAUCAUUAACACGUAUCUAAACGUUGUAAAAAAAAAAGAAAGAAAACCCCCCUGUGAGCAUUUGAAUGCUCUUGCAGGCUGGUAAAUCAUCGCUGAACUAGUUUGAUUCAGGGCUUGUUGGGUGAGAGCCAUAGCUGCAAUCGAGACAUAACCAAGCCUGCUCCGUAAAGUCCCUGCGUACGUGAAAGUGGUAUUGGUGUAUGUACCGGAGAAACCCUUCUGGACGGCCACCACGGCCGGUCGCUGCUUCGUGCCCCCCAGGAGUACCCCGCUACCAGUCGAAACGACCAACCUGAAUACUUGAACUGUUAACAAUGGAUAUCUUGGUUCUC